CAAGUUAGCCCAGGCUCAUGCUGGACUCGAGGCUUCUCCUGCCCCUGGAAUAUACAGGCUUGUGCGGCUCAAGGACGUGCCAGAAACCACCGCUUUGGUGGAGAAGAGCCACCUGGCCCUGCACGGCGCAGCCCACAGUAGCUGCCUCUGCCAUUAAGGGUUUUCUUCCUGAAGUCCAGUAUAAACAGUCUCCGCUCUAAUGAACGUGCUAAUAAAUCAAAUCCGGCUUCAGCGACCUCGCCAUGGAGGAGCUGGAUGAUACAUGAACAAGAAACAUCCCUGUGACUCCUGAAAUCCAUCACGGUGCUGCCAAGGGCAGCAUUAUCAUCUCGGGCUCAUCUCUAGCUUAAGGCUGUGCUCAGGGCACACGUGUCCCUCCUAUGGGUGCUGUGUCCAGCUUUGCUUUAAGAGACUUUGAGGCUCCAGAGAUGCUCUCGACCUGCUCUGCCUCACUUGCUCUAGCAGAUGACAACCUUUUUGUGCAGAAGUUUCAGCUGUGAGUAGGGACACAGUCCUGCUGUUCCCAUAACUGGGGGGCAAAGUUCUCAAGCUCUUUGCAUGCUGAGAACGUAAUUUCAAUGUAUGUUGUUGCUAGUAAGCCAGAGCUUGGGGUCUGUUCCCCAUUACCCAGCAUGUGGCUGGAAAGCUCAGCACACCCUGCUCCCCGCUGGAAUGGGCUUGUCCUGCAGACGUUGCUGUGUUCGUGCAAGGUCUACAAGCUCUUUUUGCUAUGAAUCUUUAUUUGUCCCAUCUGCUGUAGAAGCAGCAAGCACGAAGGGUAGCUUUGAUGGGUGCGCUCGGAGAAGCUGCUUGUCCUGGCAAAAAGGCUCUGCUCGAGUGCUGGUGCAGCCCAACUGUUUUAUUUUGUCUGUCCUACUAAACAGUAAAAAGCAGGAGCUCUGUUGAAGAUGAAUUAUUUUAUACGGGGAAUUCACCGGAUACAGGAUGAUUCUGCUGGUGCUGGCUCUUUCCUGUGGUCAGAGAAGGGAUGAGUGCUCAUCCAACCAGGCUGGUCUUGGCAGGGAUAGAGCAGCCCAUGGGUUUGGGCAGGAACAGGGUACCAUGAGAGGAGAAAACCCUUUUUCUAUGGAUCUUGGUAGCUCAUCCCUAUGGAGAUGAAAACCCAGGUCUCAGGGACAGCCCCAACCUGGACUGGCCCCAGCCAAGGUUGGAGCGUGCUGUUCCCACCAGCUCUCCAUAAACACAGACAAAUGUUUCCCAUGCAGCUUUUCCCAGCAAAAAAACCCUGCAGAUCUGGUCACGCCAGGAUGUUUUCUGAACCUUUGUGGUGUUUACUGAAGUUUUUGUUUAGAGUUUUUGGUUUAAACAUAACUUCAAUGUUCCCCUUGAACCUUUUCGUAAUGAAGCUGUUGCCACAUUUUGGGAUGGGGGGUGGUGUAAACAGCAGCUUCAGCAUUUCCCUCAAUCAUGUAAUUAAAAAAAAAAAAACCCUAAAGCCACAAAAUUUCCAAUGAAAUAUUUGGAUUUGUCGAGCAAAUUUUUUGGUCAGCCUUAAAUACAAUGUCAGUGUUGCCAGGCUCCUCAGUCUGCCCUAAUUCCCCUGCUGGGACAAGAGGCUGUGGCCACAUUAAUUCUUCCCCAGCUCCAUAGGUGAACUCAGCUUGCACUGAGUAGCUCAUACGAGUUUCCCUUCAUUCCACAUCCUCUUCAGUCCUUAAAGCUGCCUGAGAAGGACAUGGGAUGGAGGAAUAAAAGCUCUGGGCAGGGAUAUGCAGGGUUCGGGUGCUCCCCCUGGGACUGGGGCAGGUUUCAAGGGCUCAGAUGUUCUUGUCCAGGCCGGGAUCCUGGUGCAGACCCUUGGUGCAGGAUUCAGCCCCUCCUUUCUAGUGGAAUUCAGUUCUUAGGGUCUGUUCAGUCUCCGGGCUCGGGGGCUUUGAGGAGGGUUGCUGGUCCUGCCCCUUGAGCUGAAGGAGUUUCUGGGUGUUUUCUGAGCAUCUAUGUGUCAAUGGCAGGUUUGUGUUUGUGGACAACUGUCCACAACAGGAGAUGAAAAAGAAAUGGAGAAGGAGAAAUCAAACACAAAACCCUAACUCUGUUCAGGAAGCACCUUAGUCACUUGUAAGUUGAAAAAGGGGGAUGGAGAUGAUGCCGGGCUCGUUGAGGGCAGCAAAAGGCAGUGCAGCCUGUGGGCUGUGGCGCCCAGCUGUGCAGAGCAGCUGGGGGCAUCGCCGGACGCCUGGGUCCCCUGCAGUCAGCAGAAGUGCCUUGCUCGAGAGGUCUCCUGAAGGAACCUCUUGGACCUGCUCCCCAGCUUAGGAACCUUGGUGCUGCAUUUGCCCUGCUGCUGGUGGCACCGCUGGACGCAGGGAGCUGAGGUUCCU
Long non-coding RNA from Nothoprocta perdicaria, 2342 nucleotides. RefSeq lists it as uncharacterized. Lineage: Eukaryota; Metazoa; Chordata; Aves; Tinamiformes; Tinamidae. The record is from RefSeq and is a predicted model, not a curated record. The transcript has 2 exons.